GUCUGCAACCCGACUACAUGAAGCUGGAAUCGCUAGUAAUCGCGGAUCAGAAUGCCGCGGUGAAUACGUUCCCGGGUCUUGUACACACCGCCCGUCACACCAUGAGAGUCUGUAACACCCAAAGCCGGUGGGAUAACCUUUAUAGGAGUCAGCCGUCUAAGGUAGGACAGAUGAUUAGGGUGAAGUCGUAACAAGGUACC
This 200-nucleotide ribosomal RNA is filed under the name uncultured bacterium. RNAcentral describes it as "partial 16S ribosomal RNA". It matches the Rfam family "Bacterial small subunit ribosomal RNA", at positions 1303 to 1500 of the family's 1533-position model. The record is from RNAcentral.